UUUCAAAAUAUCAAAUCCAUCUGAUGGAUUACCCUGGCCAAGGUUUUGCUAAAUUGAAAUACAGUGACUCAUUCUUCUCCAACUCUUGGAGUGGUCAAUCCCAUCUCGAUCACACUCUGACUUCGCAAGUACUUGACUGUGCCCAGAAGCCUUCCAUCAUUGAAUUAGAAAUUCAGUUAGUCCAGUACCAAAGCACAGUGAGUUGCUUGUAAGUCACUGAGGCGAUCUCAGGUCUAAGGGAUACUUAUACCUAUAUCCCAUCA
Molecule: long non-coding RNA, 263 nt
Filed under: Elaeis guineensis (African oil palm)
Lineage: Eukaryota; Viridiplantae; Streptophyta; Magnoliopsida; Arecales; Arecaceae
Description: long non-coding RNA (EGUI_LNC026065)
Source: RNAcentral